Molecule: ribosomal RNA, 548 nt
Filed under: uncultured bacterium
Lineage: Bacteria
Description: bacterial SSU rRNA
Rfam family: Bacterial small subunit ribosomal RNA
Source: RNAcentral
UGGGGAAUAUUGGACAAUGGGCGAAAGCCUGAUCCAGCCAUGCCGCGUGCAGGAUGAAGGCCUUCGGGUUGUAAACUGCUUUUGUACGGAACGAAAAGACUCUGGUUAAUACCUGGGGUCCAUGACGGUACCGUAAGAAUAAGCACCGGCUAACUACGUGCCAGCAGCCGCGGUAAUACGUAGGGUGCAAGCGUUAAUCGGAAUUACUGGGCGUAAAGCGUGCGCAGGCGGUUAUAUAAGACAGAUGUGAAAUCCCCGGGCUCAACCUGGGAACUGCAUUUGUGACUGUAUAGCUAGAGUACGGCAGAGGGGGAUGGAAUUCCGCGUGUAGCAGUGAAAUGCGUAGAUAUGCGGAGGAACACCGAUGGCGAAGGCAAUCCCCUGGGCCUGUACUGACGCUCAUGCACGAGAGCGUGGGGAGCAAACAGGAUUAGAUACCCUGGUAGUCCACGCCCUAAACGAUGUCAACUGGUUGUUGGGUCUUCACUGACUCAGUAACGAAGCUAACGCGUGAAGUUGACCGCCUGGGGAGUACGGCCGCAAGGUUG